RNAcentral lists this ribosomal RNA (254 nucleotides) under uncultured bacterium. Its description in RNAcentral is "partial 16S ribosomal RNA". It matches the Rfam family "Bacterial small subunit ribosomal RNA", at positions 524 to 776 of the family's 1533-position model. The record is from RNAcentral.
UACGUAGGUGGCGAGCGUUGUCCGGAUUUACUGGGCGUAAAGCGCGCGUAGGUGGCUUCCUAAGUCUUGACGUGAAAGGUCGCGGCCCAACUGCGACAGGGCGCGGGAUACUGGGGAGCUUGAGGGCAGCAGAGGCCGGUGGAAUUCCCGGUGGAGUGGUGAAAUGCGUAGAUAUCGGGAGGAACACCAGAGGCGAAGGCGGCCGGCUGGGCUGUACCUGACGCUGAGGCGCGAAAGCGUGGGGAGCGAACCGG